This 255-nucleotide ribosomal RNA is filed under the name uncultured bacterium. RNAcentral describes it as "partial 16S ribosomal RNA". It matches the Rfam family "Bacterial small subunit ribosomal RNA", at positions 524 to 776 of the family's 1533-position model. The record is from RNAcentral.
UACGUAGGGUGCAAGCGUUGUCCGGAAUUAUUGGGCGUAAAGAGCUCGUAGGCGGUUUGUCGCGUCUGCUGUGAAAACCUAAGGCUCAACCUGGGCUUGCAGUGGGUACGGGCAGACUAGAGUGUGGUAGGGGAGACUGGAAUUCAUGGUGUAGCAGUGAAAUGCGUAGAGAUCAUGAGGAAGACCAGUGGCGAAGGCGGGUCUCUGGACAGUUCCUGACACUGAGACACGAAGGCCCAGGGGGAGCAAAACAGG